Molecule: long non-coding RNA, 205 nt
Filed under: Marmota monax (woodchuck)
Lineage: Eukaryota; Metazoa; Chordata; Mammalia; Rodentia; Sciuridae
Source: RNAcentral
GUGGUGAGCCGCUUCUGCCGUUUCUGCAGACUAUGGUCGCCAUUACAAGAUGGCGCUGGCUCAGCUGUGGUUUGUGACAAACAACUCCUUAUUUGGGAGAGUUGGCGCAUGGUUUUUCACCACCCUAUGAGAAAGCUCCACGUGGCAGCUUCGCAUUGGGGCUUGAGAUGCUUUAUUAAGGCUGGGAGGGGCAUCCAAGAGAGAG